GUAUUUGCUUCAGCAGUACAUAUACUAAAAUGUAACAAAAAAAAAAAAAAUAGCAUGGCCCCUGGGCAAGGAUGACAAGCAAAUUCACAAACAUUCUAUAUUUUA
Molecule: small nuclear RNA, 105 nt
Organism: Apodemus sylvaticus (European woodmouse)
Lineage: Eukaryota; Metazoa; Chordata; Mammalia; Rodentia; Muridae
Source: RefSeq, a predicted model, not a curated record